UUUGUAGACGUGUACAUCAUCGUGACUUGAAUUACGAAAGGGCAUCCCCUAAGCAAACCCGGUGGGGCCCGCACUAUAUGCAUUUGGAUCACCAAUGACGUUGGGCCAACCUCAACCCUAAACCCUCAAAAGAUAAUAUGCAUGCAUUUUAUAAUGAAAUGAGCAUCACAUUUUCAAUAAUUUAUCAAACUUUCCCAUCCAAUAUCAACACAGAUGCUUUAAUUUUGUGGCACUAAAAUAAUCCAUAUAAGCUACAAUAAACUAUCUUAAGAGGUUAAUUACUAAUAUAUUUUAAAAUUUUUGAAAAGCGAAAGUUCUAUAAAAUUCCUCUAAUUUUUGGGCCCUUACUAAUAUAUUCUAAAAAAUUCUCAUCAUGUGUUCAUAAAGUUACAAUUCGUAGAAAAUUUCACUAUACCUCACAAGAUUAAACUGUAUAUUCAACUAUUAAAUUAUUUGAUAGACAAC
This 465-nucleotide long non-coding RNA is filed under the name Malus domestica (apple). Its description in RNAcentral is "long non-coding RNA (MDOM_LNC002285)". Lineage: Eukaryota; Viridiplantae; Streptophyta; Magnoliopsida; Rosales; Rosaceae. The record is from RNAcentral.